UGACUUGAUCGGAGACAUUAUCGAGUUCUUGAACGGGUUGUAGCUGGCCUUCCGAGGCAUGUGCACGCCCUGCUCAAUCCACUCUACACCUGUGCACUUACUGUAGGUUUCUUGGUUGCGUUGGGUCUCUCCUCUGUGGCUCGCGAAAGCCGAGAGGCUUAUGUCUUACAACAAACUAUAAAGUAAAUGAGUGUGUACCGCGCCUAAAGCAUCUAUAUACAACUUUUUCCAACGGAUCUCUUGUGUCUCGCAUCUAUGAAAAAAGCACCGAAAUGCGAUAAAUAUUGUGAAUUGUGCAAAUCUCUGAGUCUCCUAAUCUCUGAGCGCACCUUGUGCUCCCUGUGAUACCGAGAAGCGUGUGUGUGUGAGAGUCACGUGAUUCUCUAACUAUACGCCUUUUCUCAGAUCCUUGUGCAGGUUGUACAUGUAGAGUCACUGUCGCCACAGAUAUCUCCUAUCUCAUACGCAUUAUAUAGAUCUCGCGCAACGCGGCUCGCUGUGAGAAAUGUCUACACGUGUGCGCGUCGGAUAUAUAUACAAGCGUCUAUAAAGCGACUCUUGUGAGGCACAUAUCUUGAGAUCUGAGACUCAUCACGUAGAACUACACGGUGAUUAGCAUAUAUCAUACC
Molecule: ribosomal RNA, 629 nt
Filed under: Microporus xanthopus
Lineage: Eukaryota; Fungi; Basidiomycota; Agaricomycetes; Polyporales; Polyporaceae
Description: eukaryotic LSU rRNA
Rfam family: 5.8S ribosomal RNA (bases 221-374)
Source: RNAcentral